This 269-nucleotide ribosomal RNA is filed under the name uncultured fungus. RNAcentral's name for it is "partial 18S small subunit ribosomal RNA". It matches the Rfam family "Eukaryotic small subunit ribosomal RNA", at positions 379 to 644 of the family's 1831-position model. Lineage: Eukaryota; Fungi. The record is from RNAcentral.
UAUUCCGGAGAGGGAGCCUGAGAAACGGUACCACAUCCGAGGAAGGCAGCAGGGGCGCAAAUUACCCAAUCCCGACACGGGGAGGUAGUGACAAUAAAUACUGAUACAGGGCUCUUUUGGGUCGUUGGUGAAUUGGAAUGAGUACAAUUUAAAUCCCUUAACGAGGAACAAUUGGAGGGCAAGUCUGGUGCCAGCAGCCGCGGUAAAUUCCAGCUCCAAUAGCGUAUAUUAAAGUUGUUGCAGUUAAAAAGCUCGUAGUUGAAACCUUG